UUUGAACUUUUUAAAAAUUAUUAAAAGGCUUAUUUGUAUGAUGUAACUUGAUUUCUGUGCUAUUGUGCAAUUUGGAUUUAUUGAAAAAGUGAAGAUGCUAAGUCCGGAUUCUUGUGCUUGUAAUUCUGGUAUUUGUAAUUCUUGCAUUAAGGAAAACCUCAGUUGAGUUCAGAUGUUCUAGACAGUAAUUCAGACUGAAGAAAAAAAUGGCUCUUUGAGAACAAGCAGCCUGAAGCAAUG
Long non-coding RNA from Perognathus longimembris pacificus (Pacific pocket mouse), 240 nucleotides. RefSeq lists it as uncharacterized. The record is from RefSeq and is a predicted model, not a curated record. The transcript has 3 exons. Lineage: Eukaryota; Metazoa; Chordata; Mammalia; Rodentia; Heteromyidae.